UUCUCAUAGAAAAUGGUCUAAUUUCACACUUUUUUUUAAAAACUAUAGACCACAUGGGCCAUUAUAUUGAAAACAAAAUCUGUACAAACAAAAAUGAUCAGACCACACAGCCAAAUCCCAAAAUAAACAAAAGAAAACAAAAAAAAAUCAAAUUAGGAAAGUGGGAAAGGAUGAACAAAUCCAGAAGACCAAGAGCCAACCAAUGGUCUCACUUAGCUCCGGUCUCGGAGCUCAUGUUCGGAGGCCCCUCGUCAUCAAUGAUUGUGAACUUUCAUACCAAAUGAACUCAGAGCUAAGAAUCCACAACCGAGGAUAUUAGUUCCCUUUUCUUAGAUCUAUCCUUCAAUGGGUUGAAUCCCACAAAUGAGAUUGAUACCACCAUCGAGUAUUAGAUCCUUAAAAGAUUAACUGAUUUUUUGGGGUAGUGCGGGGGACCUGGAGCUGCAUUUGCCGUUUACAAGCUUCUUGUUCAGCUGCUCAACCCGCUUUUCGAUGAAUCUACAUCUCUUCUUCAGUAGCCAAAAAGAGAUCCAACAUGCUAAGGAUGAUUUCCAAUAGAAGCUAGUGUGUUGGUAUGGUACUAAUGGGCACCCCAAGCUCUCACCAGGUGUAAGUACUCAGAUCAAAUGAAUUUACUUCAGACAGUAGCUUAGUCAAUAUAGAAAUUUUUCUUUAGCUUGUCGAAUCUGCUAGUCACCAAUAAAAGGAUAAUGGAAACUGAUAGUUAAAAACUUGUAUGAUCUGUUAUUCCUGGAUUUGCCUCCUUAUGUAUGGUGUUCCAAAUUUGUCUAAAUUGAGUAUCUUCUUUCCUUCA
Molecule: long non-coding RNA, 814 nt
Organism: Solanum dulcamara
Lineage: Eukaryota; Viridiplantae; Streptophyta; Magnoliopsida; Solanales; Solanaceae
Exons: 2
Source: RefSeq, a predicted model, not a curated record